UACGUAGGUGGCAAGCGUUGUCCGGAUUUACUGGGUGUAAAGGGCGUGUAGACGGGUCUGCAAGUCAGAUGUGAAAUACCGCAGCUUAACUGCGGGGCUGCAUUUGAAACUGUGGAUCUUGAGUGCAGGAGAGGAAAGCGGAAUUCCUAGUGUAGCGGUGAAAUGCGUAGAUAUUAGGAGGAACACCAGUGGCGAAGGCGGCUUUCUGGACUGUAACUGACGUUGAGGCGCGAAAGCGUGGGUAGCAAAC
Molecule: ribosomal RNA, 250 nt
Filed under: uncultured bacterium
Lineage: Bacteria
Description: partial 16S ribosomal RNA
Rfam family: Bacterial small subunit ribosomal RNA
Source: RNAcentral